AUCCCUACGGGGGGCAGCAGUGGGGAAUAUUGGGCAAUGGGCGCAAGCCUGAUGCAGCGACGCCGCGUGCGGGAUGGAGGCCUUCGGGUUGUAAACCGCUUUUGUUCAAGGGCAAGGCACGGUCUUUGGCCGUGUUGAGUGGAUUGUUCGAAUAAGCACCGGCUAACUACGUGCCAGCAGCCGCGGUAAUCCGUAGGGUGCAAGCGUUAUCCGGAUUUAUUGGGCGUAAAGGGCUCGUAGGCGGUUCGUCGCGUCCGGUGUGCAAGUCCUUCGCUUAACGGUGGGUCCGCGGCG
Molecule: ribosomal RNA, 294 nt
Filed under: uncultured bacterium
Lineage: Bacteria
Description: partial 16S ribosomal RNA
Rfam family: Bacterial small subunit ribosomal RNA
Source: RNAcentral